GGGUUCCAUCUUUCUCAAAUCCAUGGAUCAAGUGGGAUGGGGGGGCUUCUUUGCACUUCUUGAUUUACCUUUUCCUUUCACCACACCCCCAACUUAGGUUUGUGGCCUAAGUUGGCUAUUCAAACACACCACACAUCAUGAGGAUUAUUGGUGAAUUGAUAAAGAGGGGUUACAAUUGCAUAAGGUUUCUUCCAAGAAAAGGCUAAGGCUCAAAAAGGGAGUUCAAGCAAGGUUCACACACUGACAAGGUUGGCCACAAAAGAAGUAUAUUGUCAAUUUGUUUCACUCUUCAAAUUUUUGCCUAAGAUCACUUCAAGAGCUUGC
RNAcentral lists this long non-coding RNA (324 nucleotides) under Solanum tuberosum (potato). RNAcentral describes it as "long non-coding RNA (STUB_LNC009019)". The record is from RNAcentral. Lineage: Eukaryota; Viridiplantae; Streptophyta; Magnoliopsida; Solanales; Solanaceae.